RNAcentral lists this long non-coding RNA (2553 nucleotides) under Lactuca sativa (garden lettuce). Its description in RNAcentral is "long non-coding RNA (LSAT_LNC004172)". Lineage: Eukaryota; Viridiplantae; Streptophyta; Magnoliopsida; Asterales; Asteraceae. The record is from RNAcentral.
UUAUAUACUCUCAUAUUUGAACACACAACUUAUAUAAGUUACAAGUUUAUACAGUCCAUUUAUAGUUUAAUUCACAAAAUUCACAACUUAGUACAACCCAUUUUAUAAUAAUUCACAAACUCAAAGAAAUCAAAAAUUCAAACUCUAUUACUACUACCACCACACACUGCCACCAACCACCUGUACCAGCAUCGCAACCAUUAUUUUCUUCUAAAUUAGAUAUGUAAACAAAGUCAUGCAUUAAUAACUUAAAUACUGCAUUCACAGUCUAAUAAAACCACUUAUUUCACUCAUUUUAAAUUUAAUGCAAAAUUAUUAUUAAAACUAAUGUAUUCUUACAUACUUGUACAACACAAAAAAUAAAUAUAUUUAGAAAAAAAAAUUAACAAAAAAAUUUAUGCAUAAAUCAUUCAUAUAUUAAAUUGUGAAUUUAAUAUAUUAAGUUGUGAAUAAAAUUUACAUUAUUUCAAAAGCUAACAAAAAAAUUGUAAAAUAAUCACAGCUUAAUGUCAAUUCAUUCACAACUUAAUACAAUCAACUCAGAAUUUAAUACACAAAUUCAUAGCUUAAUAUAGUCAGUUCAUAGUCUAAGAAGAAAAUACACAGUUUAAUGCAGUCAAUUUACAGUUUAAAACACAAAAAUCCAAGUUUAGUACACAAAAUUCAAAGUUUAUUACACAAAAAGUAUGCAUACACAAAAUUCAUAGCUUAAUACAAUUAACUUUAUAGUUUCAUACACAUAAUUCACAACUUAAUCUAGUCAAUUUAUAGUUAAACAAAAAAUUCAUAGCUUAAUACAGUCAAUUUGCAGUUUAAAAAGAAAAUUCAAAGUUUAAUGCAAUCAAUUCACAGUUUAAAACACAAAAAUGACAGUUUAGUACACUAAAUUCACAUUUUAAUACACAAAAAGUAGUAUUCACAUCCAUAUUAUAAACUUAAAACACUUAUUACAAUUAAUACACAGUUUAAUAUAGAAAAUUCACAAGCUAGUAUUAUAAAUUCAAAGUUUAAUUCAAAAAAAAUUAUACAUUCAAACCUUAAUAGCAGUUAAAACUAAGAUUAACAAAAUUAUACGACAAAUGAGAGGUUAAAACAUCAAAUUCACACUUUAACAGAAAAAAAAACAAAAAAAAAAAUUUAUCAUAUAGAUCUACAAUAGAUGCAAGUAGAAAAACAUAUUAUCAACUUAAAACUUUUAAUUCAUAGUUAAAUAGAGUAUAUUCACUGUUUAAUACAAAAAAAAAGUAUGUAUUCAAAAGCAUAUUAUCAACUUAAAAUUUUUAAUAUAAUCAAUUCACACUUUAAUACAAUUAAUUCAUAGUUAAAUAUACAAAAGUCACAGUUUAAUAUAGUCAAUUUACAGUUUAAAGAACAAAUUCACAGCUUAAUGCAUUCAAUUUACAGUUUUAAAAACAAAUAUCACAACUAAAUACACAGACUUCAUAGUUUAAUAUACAAAAAGUAUGCAUUCACAACUAAAUUCGCAGCUUAAUAACUUACCAAAUUUUAUUGAGGCAUUUCAUAAAACACCUUGUGUGCAUCUUUUUUUCAGAACUUCCUUUUGUAAGCACCAUCAAUGUAAACACCAUACACACACCAGAUCUAACCUGAAAAUAGAUAAACACAUCAGAUCUGAUGUCGAUUUGCUGGUGUUUUGACCAGAGAUAAGAGAGACAUAGACGGAAAUGAGUUAUAAAUGAGAAGGAGGCGACACAUAACAGAUCUGGUACAAAUCCGAUAAACAUUUCGCCGUUAAUAGAACAUAUCAGAGAAAAAAAUAAGUUUAAGAGUUCGGAAACAAAACGAGAUCAAGAUUAGCACCUGUAGGUUGAGAUGAGGACUGCGAUUUGCGAUUUUUGAUGCUCCGACAACGACACCAACGGUGGGGGAACAUAUUUGAUGUAGAUCCAACGAUGGAAUGAUGAAAUAGAAAGAAAAACCUUUGUAUAAUAACACCAAAUUCUCAGAUCUACAUCAGAUCUAAAUUGAUCUGGUGUAAAUAAAGAUAAAGGAGGUCUCCAGUGGUAGUUUGUAUAAAGAAGUAGAUCUGGAGGUGGUAGGACAUUUGGAGGCGAAAAAGAGCUCCAUACUCUGUCACAUCUGUUAUUCCGGCGAAGCAGAUCGAAGAGUUUUUCUCGUGCUUCAUCAAAUUUGAAACGUUGGAGAUUUGGAGAAGAAGCAUAUUCAAAUUUGAAAAUAGAGUGUAGUGUUUUCUAGGUGUUCCAGCAAAGCAAAGCGGCUGAUGGAAGGCGAUAGUCGGUGUUAAUGAGAUAGAUGGCGGUAGAAGGAGGUGACGCUCGGUGGUAAUGGCAGAUCUGAAGUCAGGGGUUCUAGAUCUGAAGGCGAAUGCACCAGAUCUGAAGGUGGAUGUUUUAGAUCUGAAGGCGGCAGCUCCAGAUCUGAAGAUCGUUGUAUUCCGACGACGACGAGGACGGUGGUGCCGGCGAUGGUGGUGGUCGUUGGCAGUAGUAGGAGGUGAGAGAGAGAGAGAGAGAGAGAGAGAGAUAUGAGGGAAAAGUUGUCAUGUCUGAUAAUUAAAGUUAUAAGGUAAAA